This 253-nucleotide ribosomal RNA is filed under the name uncultured bacterium. RNAcentral describes it as "partial 16S ribosomal RNA". It matches the Rfam family "Bacterial small subunit ribosomal RNA", at positions 524 to 776 of the family's 1533-position model. The record is from RNAcentral.
UACGUAGGGUGCAAGCGUUGUCCGGAAUUAUUGGGCGUAAAGAGCUCGUAGGCGGUCUGUCGCGUCGGCUGUGAAAACCCGGAGCUCAACUCCGGGCCUGCAGUCGAUACGGGCAGACUGGAGUUCGGCAGGGGAGACUGGAAUUCCUGGUGUAGCGGUGAAAUGCGCAGAUAUCAGGAGGAACACCGGUGGCGAAGGCGGCUCACUGGCUCAUUUCUGACGCUCAGGCGCGACAGCGUGGGGAUCAAACAGG